UGCGCAGGUGGGCUUGUAAGUCAGUGGUGAAAUACUGCCGCUUAACGGUAGAACUGCCAUUGAUACUGCAAGUCUUGAGUAUGGUUGAGGUAGGCGGAACGUGUUGUGUAGCGGUGAAAUGCAUAGAUAUGACACAGAACUCCAAUUGCGAAGGCAGCUUACUAAGCCAUUACUGACGCUGAGGCACGAAAGCGUGGGGAGCGAACAGGAUUAGAUACCCUGGUAGUCC
Molecule: ribosomal RNA, 229 nt
Filed under: uncultured bacterium
Lineage: Bacteria
Description: partial 16S ribosomal RNA
Rfam family: Bacterial small subunit ribosomal RNA
Source: RNAcentral